Molecule: unclassified non-coding RNA, 637 nt
Filed under: Hevea brasiliensis (rubber tree)
Lineage: Eukaryota; Viridiplantae; Streptophyta; Magnoliopsida; Malpighiales; Euphorbiaceae
Source: RNAcentral
UACUGUUUAUGGCAGCCGAAUGCUUCGCAUUGUGGUGAAACUUUGAACUACAGUAAGAAAAGCAGCUGUGAUGUAGGAUUGAAGCAUAAAUUGCUUGGAAAUGCUAGGGUUAUUUGUAGGAAUCGGCCGGGGAGAAGGUUGAAACGGAUUGUGGGAUGUAGUAAUAGUAGUUUAGCAUAUUCGAGGAUUCGAUUGAGUUGUGCUUUGUGGAAAUCUGAUUCGAGUGGGAAUUUGGCGGGUGUGAAGGAUUCUAGGGGAGUAAAGUUGCUUCGCUGUCAGGAGAAUGAUUCACUUGCUUUCAUUGAUGGUAAUGGUAGAAAUGUGGAGUCCAGUGAGAGUGCUGAGGAGGGAUCUGUGAGUGUUAGUGCUAAUGGCAUCGCUGAAAUUAGCAGCGCUAAGGAAUUGGAGGAAGACAAAGGAGAAGAAAAGGAAGGGGAUAAUUUGGAUGAACUAAGGGAGUUGUUGCAGAAGGCACUCAAGGAUCUGGAAGUUGCACAGCUCAACAGCACAAUGUUUGAGGAAAAAGCCCAGAAGAUAUCAGAAGCUGCUAUAGCAUUAAAGGAUGAAGCUGCUAAUGCAUGGGAUGAUGUGAACAAACAACUUGAAAGCAUUGAAGAGAUGGUAGUUGAAGAGAUGA